This 159-nucleotide microRNA precursor is filed under the name Oryza sativa Indica Group (long-grained rice). Its description in RNAcentral is "MIR812 microRNA precursor family". It matches the Rfam family "MIR812 microRNA precursor family", at positions 27 to 189 of the family's 205-position model. Lineage: Eukaryota; Viridiplantae; Streptophyta; Magnoliopsida; Poales; Poaceae. The record is from Rfam by way of RNAcentral.
UCCAAACUGUCCGUCUUGUAUGAAAUUUUUUUAUAAUUCGUAUUUUUAUUGUUGUUAUAUGAUAAAACAUGAUUAAUAUUUUAUGCGUGACUUGUCUUUUUAAUUUUUUUCAUAAUUUUUGUAAAUAAGACGGAUGUUCAAACGUUGGGCACGGAAACC